Felis catus (domestic cat) is the source of this 85-nucleotide transfer RNA. It matches the Rfam family "tRNA". Rfam says of the family: Transfer RNA (tRNA) molecules are approximately 80 nucleotides in length. Their secondary structure includes four short double-helical elements and three loops (D, anti-codon, and T loops). Further hydrogen bonds mediate the characteristic L-shaped molecular structure. tRNAs have two regions of fundamental functional importance: the anti-codon, which is responsible for specific mRNA codon recognition, and the 3' end, to which the tRNAs corresponding amino acid is attached (by aminoacyl-tRNA synthetases). tRNAs cope with the degeneracy of the genetic code in two manners: having more than one tRNA (with a specific anti-codon) for a particular amino acid; and 'wobble' base-pairing, i.e. permitting non-standard base-pairing at the 3rd anti-codon position. NCBI's taxonomy places the organism in Eukaryota, Metazoa, Chordata, Mammalia, Carnivora, Felidae. The record is from Rfam.
GCCUGGGUGGCUCAGUCGGUUGAGCAUCCGACUUCGGCUCAGGUCAUGAUCUCACGGUUCGUGGGUUCGAGCCCCGCAUCGGGCU